This 286-nucleotide signal recognition particle RNA is filed under the name Suricata suricatta (meerkat). RNAcentral's name for it is "Metazoan signal recognition particle RNA (ENSSSUG00005009616.1)". It matches the Rfam family "Metazoan signal recognition particle RNA". From Rfam's summary of the family: The signal recognition particle (SRP) is a universally conserved ribonucleoprotein. The record is from Rfam by way of RNAcentral. Lineage: Eukaryota; Metazoa; Chordata; Mammalia; Carnivora; Herpestidae.
GCCGGCGCGGUGACGCGCGCCUGUAGACCCAGCUACUCGGGAGGCUGAGGCAGGAGGAUCGCUUGAGCCCAGGAGUUCUGGGCUGUAGUGCGCUAUGCCGAUCGGGUGUCCGCACUAAGUUCGGCAUCAAUAUGGUGACCUCCCGGGAGCGGGGGACCACCAGGUUACCUAAGGAGGGGUGAACCGGCCCAGGUCGGAAACGGAGCAGGUCAAUACUAGUUCUCUGAGUGCCCUGAUUAAAAGAUAGAGAUUUAUAGUGUGACUCAAAGACAAGAUCCAACUACAU